Molecule: ribosomal RNA, 497 nt
Filed under: uncultured bacterium
Lineage: Bacteria
Description: partial 16S ribosomal RNA
Rfam family: Bacterial small subunit ribosomal RNA
Source: RNAcentral
GAUGAACGCUGGCGGCGUGCCUAAUACAUGCAAGUCGAGCGAACGGACGAGAAGCUUGCUUUUCUGAUGUUAGCGGCGGACGGGUGAGUAACACGUGGAUAACCUACCUAUAAUACUGGGAUAACUUCGGGAAACCGGAGCUAAUACCGGAUAAUAUUUUGAACCGCAUGGUUCAAAAGUGAAAGACGGUCUUGCUGUCACUUAUAGAUGGAUCCGCGCUGCAUUAGCUAGUUGGUAAGGUAACGGCUUACCAAGGCAACGAUGCAUAGCCGACCUGAGAGGGUGAUCGGCCACACUGGAACUGAGACACGGUCCAGACUCCUACGGGAGGCAGCAGUAGGGAAUCUUCCGCAAUGGGCGAAAGCCUGACGGAGCAACGCCGCGUGAGUGAUGAAGGUCUUCGGAUCGUAAAACUCUGUUAUUAGGGAAGAACAUAUGUGUAAGUAACUGUGCACAUCUUGACGGUACCUAAACAGAAAGCCACGGCUAACUACGUG